UACGGGGGGGGCAAGCGUUGUUCGGAAUUACUGGGCGUAAAGGGUUUGUAGGUGGCUUGCUAAGUCAGACGUGAAAUCCCUCAGCUUAACUGGGGAACUGCGUCUGAUACUGGUGAGCUUGAGUGCAGGAGAGGAACGCGGAAUUCCAGGUGUAGCGGUGAAAUGCGUAGAUAUCUGGAGGAAUACCGGUGGCGAAGGCGGCAUCCUGGACCGACAUUGACGCUGAGGAGCGAAAGCCAGGGGAGCAAACGGG
This 253-nucleotide ribosomal RNA is filed under the name uncultured bacterium. RNAcentral's name for it is "partial 16S ribosomal RNA". It matches the Rfam family "Bacterial small subunit ribosomal RNA", at positions 524 to 776 of the family's 1533-position model. The record is from RNAcentral.